AGUGAGAUUGCUGGGUCAAAUGGUGGUUCCAUUCCUAGUUUUUUGAGGAAUUACAUACUACUUUUCAGAGUGGUUGCGCCAAUUUGCAAUCCCACCAAAAAU
This 102-nucleotide microRNA precursor is filed under the name Marmota monax (woodchuck). The record is from RNAcentral. Lineage: Eukaryota; Metazoa; Chordata; Mammalia; Rodentia; Sciuridae.